GGGUUGUGAGGUUAAGCGACUAAGCGUACACGGUGGAUGCCCUGGCAGUCAGAGGCGAUGAAGGACGUGCUAAUCUGCGAUAAGCGUCGGUAAGGUGAUAUGAACCGUUAUAACCGGCGAUUUCCGAAUGGGGAAACCCAGUGUGUUUCGACACACUAUCAUUAACUGAAUCCAUAGGUUAAUGAGGCGAACCGGGGGAACUGAAACAUCUAAGUACCCCGAGGAAAAGAAAUCAACCGAGAUUCCCCCAGUAGCGGCGAGCGAACGGGGAGCAGCCCAGAGCCUGAAUCAGUGUGUGUGUUAGUGGAAGCGUCUGGAAAGGCGCGCGAUACAGGGUGACAGCCCCGUACACAAAAAUGCACAUGCUGUGAGCUCGAUGAGUAGGGCGGGACACGUGGUAUCCUGUCUGAAUAUGGGGGGACCAUCCUCCAAGGCUAAAUACUCCUGACUGACCGAUAGUGAACCAGUACCGUGAGGGAAAGGCGAAAAGAACCCCGGCGAGGGGAGUGAAAAAGAACCUGAAACCGUGUACGUACAAGCAGUGGGAGCACGCUUCGGCGUGUGACUGCGUACCUUUUGUAUAAUGGGUCAGCGACUUAUAUUCUGUAGCAAGGUUAACCGAAUAGGGGAGCCGAAGGGAAACCGAGUCUUAACUGGGCGUUAAGUUGCAGGGUAUAGACCCGAAACCCGGUGAUCUAGCCAUGGGCAGGUUGAAGGUUGGGUAACACUAACUGGAGGACCGAACCGACUAAUGUUGAAAAAUUAGCGGAUGACUUGUGGCUGGGGGUGAAAGGCCAAUCAAACCGGGAGAUAGCUGGUUCUCCCCGAAAGCUAUUUAGGUAGCGCCUCGUGAAUUCAUCUCCGGGGGUAGAGCACUGUUUCGGCAAGGGGGUCAUCCCGACUUACCAACCCGAUGCAAACUGCGAAUACCGGAGAAUGUUAUCACGGGAGACACACGGCGGGUGCUAACGUCCGUCGUGAAGAGGGAAACAACCCAGACCGCCAGCUAAGGUCCCAAAGUCAUGGUUAAGUGGGAAACGAUGUGGGAAGGCCCAGACAGCCAGGAUGUUGGCUUAGAAGCAGCCAUCAUUUAAAGAAAGCGUAAUAGCUCACUGGUCGAGUCGGCCUGCGCGGAAGAUGUAACGGGGCUAAACCAUGCACCGAAGCUGCGGCAGCGACGCUUAUGCGUUGUUGGGUAGGGGAGCGUUCUGUAAGCCUGUGAAGGUGUGCUGUGAGGCAUGCUGGAGGUAUCAGAAGUGCGAAUGCUGACAUAAGUAACGAUAAAGCGGGUGAAAAGCCCGCUCGCCGGAAGACCAAGGGUUCCUGUCCAACGUUAAUCGGGGCAGGGUGAGUCGACCCCUAAGGCGAGGCCGAAAGGCGUAGUCGAUGGGAAACAGGUUAAUAUUCCUGUACUUGGUGUUACUGCGAAGGGGGGACGGAGAAGGCUAUGUUGGCCGGGCGACGGUUGUCCCGGUUUAAGCGUGUAGGCUGGUUUUCCAGGCAAAUCCGGAAAAUCAAGGCUGAGGCGUGAUGACGAGGCACUACGGUGCUGAAGCAACAAAUGCCCUGCUUCCAGGAAAAGCCUCUAAGCAUCAGGUAACAUCAAAUCGUACCCCAAACCGACACAGGUGGUCAGGUAGAGAAUACCAAGGCGCUUGAGAGAACUCGGGUGAAGGAACUAGGCAAAAUGGUGCCGUAACUUCGGGAGAAGGCACGCUGAUAUGUAGGUGAAGCGACUUGCUCGUGGAGCUGAAAUCAGUCGAAGAUACCAGCUGGCUGCAACUGUUUAUUAAAAACACAGCACUGUGCAAACACGAAAGUGGACGUAUACGGUGUGACGCCUGCCCGGUGCCGGAAGGUUAAUUGAUGGGGUUAGCGGUAACGCGAAGCUCUUGAUCGAAGCCCCGGUAAACGGCGGCCGUAACUAUAACGGUCCUAAGGUAGCGAAAUUCCUUGUCGGGUAAGUUCCGACCUGCACGAAUGGCGUAAUGAUGGCCAGGCUGUCUCCACCCGAGACUCAGUGAAAUUGAACUCGCUGUGAAGAUGCAGUGUACCCGCGGCAAGACGGAAAGACCCCGUGAACCUUUACUAUAGCUUGACACUGAACAUUGAGCCUUGAUGUGUAGGAUAGGUGGGAGGCUUUGAAGUGUGGACGCCAGUCUGCAUGGAGCCGACCUUGAAAUACCACCCUUUAAUGUUUGAUGUUCUAACGUUGACCCGUAAUCCGGGUUGCGGACAGUGUCUGGUGGGUAGUUUGACUGGGGCGGUCUCCUCCUAAAGAGUAACGGAGGAGCACGAAGGUUGGCUAAUCCUGGUCGGACAUCAGGAGGUUAGUGCAAUGGCAUAAGCCAGCUUGACUGCGAGCGUGACGGCGCGAGCAGGUGCGAAAGCAGGUCAUAGUGAUCCGGUGGUUCUGAAUGGAAGGGCCAUCGCUCAACGGAUAAAAGGUACUCCGGGGAUAACAGGCUGAUACCGCCCAAGAGUUCAUAUCGACGGCGGUGUUUGGCACCUCGAUGUCGGCUCAUCACAUCCUGGGGCUGAAGUAGGUCCCAAGGGUAUGGCUGUUCGCCAUUUAAAGUGGUACGCGAGCUGGGUUUAGAACGUCGUGAGACAGUUCGGUCCCUAUCUGCCGUGGGCGCUGGAGAACUGAGGGGGGCUGCUCCUAGUACGAGAGGACCGGAGUGGACGCAUCACUGGUGUUCGGGUUGUCAUGCCAAUGGCACUGCCCGGUAGCUAAAUGCGGAAGAGAUAAGUGCUGAAAGCAUCUAAGCACGAAACUUGCCCCGAGAUGAGUUCUCCCUGACUCCUUGAGAGUCCUGAAGGAACGUUGAAGACGACGACGUUGAUAGGCCGGGUGUGUAAGCGCAGCGAUGCGUUGAGCUAACCGGUACUAAU
RNAcentral lists this ribosomal RNA (2895 nucleotides) under Escherichia coli. Its description in RNAcentral is "partial 23S ribosomal RNA". It matches the Rfam family "Bacterial large subunit ribosomal RNA". Lineage: Bacteria; Pseudomonadati; Pseudomonadota; Gammaproteobacteria; Enterobacterales; Enterobacteriaceae. The record is from RNAcentral.